GAUGAACGCUAGCUACAGGCUUAACACAUGCAAGUCGAGGGGUAACGAGAGGAAAGCUUGCUUUCCUUGUUGACGACCGGCGCACGGGUGAGUAACGCGUAUCCAACCUGCCCCCAACUAAGGAAUAACCUUGCGAAAGUAAGACUAAUACCUUAUAAUUUCCUCAGAUGACAUCUGACGAGGAAUAAAGAUUUAUCGGUUGCGGAUGGGGAUGCGUCUGAUUAGCUUGUUGGCGGGGUAACGGCCCACCAAGGCAACGAUCAGUAGGGGUUCUGAGAGGAAGGUCCCCCACAUUGGAACUGAGACACGGUCCAAACUCCUACGGGAGGCAGCAGUGAGGAAUGUUGGUCAAUGGGCGGAAGCCUGAACCAGCCAAGUAGCGUGCAGGAUGACGGCCCUAUGGGUUGUAAACUGCUUUUAUACAGGAAUAAAGUUAGCCACGUGUGGUUAUUUGUAGGUACUGUAUGAAUAAGGACCGGCUAAUUCCGUGCCAGCCGCCGCAGUAA
Molecule: ribosomal RNA, 506 nt
Filed under: uncultured bacterium
Lineage: Bacteria
Description: partial 16S ribosomal RNA
Rfam family: Bacterial small subunit ribosomal RNA
Source: RNAcentral